RNAcentral lists this long non-coding RNA (229 nucleotides) under Nicotiana benthamiana. RNAcentral's name for it is "long non-coding RNA (NBEN_LNC027404)". The record is from RNAcentral. Lineage: Eukaryota; Viridiplantae; Streptophyta; Magnoliopsida; Solanales; Solanaceae.
UCAAUUCUCCUUGAAUCAUGCUUUGUUUUGGUUCUCAUUAUUGCAAAUGCGCUUAAUUGAAAUAUUUGACAUUUGUUGCAAUAUGGAUUGCUGAAAAUGACCUUGUGUAUCACUGUUAAUAAAAUAACAUUUGAUGCAUUUGUUAUGCUCUCCGUCAAAUGGAUUUUUCAUUGCUUUUGUAACCAUCGGUAUUUCCUGUAAAAUGUCGAAUUGAUGUGUUUUGCUUAAA